Molecule: long non-coding RNA, 508 nt
Filed under: Heterocephalus glaber (naked mole-rat)
Lineage: Eukaryota; Metazoa; Chordata; Mammalia; Rodentia; Bathyergidae
Description: lncRNA (ENSHGLG00000048722.1)
Source: RNAcentral
CAGGAUGCUCUGAGACCAGACGACAAAUAGGCCCUUAGGUCGAGUCAUGGCUUCACACCAGGGGAUGCAAAGAGCAGAGUAGUUUUAAGAAAGGCUGCAUCAGAAUCGGCAGGCUGAACUACAGUUCCACAGGAAUAGUCAGGCCAGUGUUCGAUGCAGAGGAAAGAGAGAAGGAGCCAUUUAUCAAUGACCAGGACUGAGCAGCUGAAGCAGUUGUUCUCCUUGAACCUGGAUGACCAUGAGCUCAGAGCACAGCUGACCAGACACCUCUCCUAAGACCCACACUGACCAUUAGUGCCAGUCAGGUAUGCUGUGAGCACAGAAACACAUUGCUGACUCAGCCAGCACAGCCCUCUGCCACUAAGCCGAUAAUUUAUGUACAUGCUUAUCCAAUGGAUCAUCACUAACUGAGCCAGCAGGGGAGUCUAGCUUGACCGUGUGGAAGUGCCGUCCACUGUCACGGACUCCUACGCACUGGCUGAUACUCCAUGGGAACCUCCUGCUCCAG